UGGGGAAUUUUGGACAAUGGGCGCAAGCCUGAUCCAGCCAUGCCGCGUGAGUGAAGAAGGCCUUCGGGUUGUAAAGCUCUUUCGGCCGGGAAGAAAUCGCACAGGUUAAUACCUUGUGUGGAUGACGGUACCGGAAUAAGAAGCACCGGCUAACUACGUGCCAGCAGCCGCGGUAAUACGUAGGGUGCGAGCGUUAAUCGGAAUUACUGGGCGUAAAGCGUGCGCAGGCGGUUUUGUAAGACAGAUGUGAAAUCCCCGGGCUCAACCUGGGAACUGCAUUUGUGACUGCAAGGCUAGAGUAUGGCAGAGGGGGUGGAAUUCCACGUGUAGCAGUGAAAUGCGUAGAGAUGUGAGGAACACCGAUGGCGAAGGCAGCCCCCUGGGCCAAUACGUGACGCU
This 399-nucleotide ribosomal RNA is filed under the name uncultured bacterium. Its description in RNAcentral is "bacterial SSU rRNA". It matches the Rfam family "Bacterial small subunit ribosomal RNA", at positions 355 to 747 of the family's 1533-position model. The record is from RNAcentral.